RNAcentral lists this unclassified non-coding RNA (268 nucleotides) under uncultured fungus. Its description in RNAcentral is "partial contains 5.8S rRNA and ITS2". Lineage: Eukaryota; Fungi. The record is from RNAcentral.
AACGCACAUGGCACUGCUUCGGCAGUAUGCCUGUUUGAGUAUCAGCAAACCCUCCCAACAGCCUUGUGCUGUCGGGGAUGUGACCCGUAGACGUGUCUCACGCCGUCUCAGGUUGAAAUGAAGGAAGAGGGCGCAUGGAUUUUGUGCCACGACAGAGCUAGUCUGUUGCAGACGCACCUGUCCACGGCCAGUCCAUGGGCUACCUCUCAUCCAAACCCCAUAUCUCAUUCAUGAUCUCAAAUCAGGCAAGAGUACCCGCUGAACUUAA